Molecule: ribosomal RNA, 732 nt
Filed under: uncultured cyanobacterium
Lineage: Bacteria; Bacillati; Cyanobacteriota
Description: bacterial SSU rRNA
Rfam family: Bacterial small subunit ribosomal RNA
Source: RNAcentral
UUUGAUCCUGGCUCAGGAUGAACGCUGGCGGUCUGCUUAACACAUGCAAGUCGAACGGGCUCUUCGGAGAAUCUGCCUUCAGGUUGGGGACAACAGUUGGGAACGACUGCUAAUACCCAAUGUGCCGAGAGGUGAAAGCUUUAGUGCCUGAGGAUGAGCUCGCGUCUGAUUAGCUAGUUGGUGGGGUAACGGCCUACCAAGGCGACGAUCAGUAGCUGGUCUGAGAGGAUGAUCAGCCACACUGGGACUGAGACACGGCCCAGACUCCUACGGGAGGCAGCAGUGGGGAAUUUUCCGCAAUGGGCGCAAGCCGGACGGAGCAAGACCGCGUGAGGGAGGAAGGCUCUUGGGUUGUAAACCUCCUUUAUCAGGGAAGAAGCUCUGACGGUACCUGAUGAAUCAGCAUCGGCUAACUCCGUGCCAGCAGCCGCGGUAAUACGGAGGAUGCAAGCGUUAUCCGGAUUUAUUGGGCGUAAAGCGUCCGCAGGUGGUUGUUCAAGUCUGCUGUUAAGGCGCGAGGCUUAACCUCGUACAGGCAGUGGAAACUGAGCGACUAGAGUAUGGUAGGGGUAGCGGGAAUUCCCAGUGUAGCGGUGAAAUGCGUAGAUAUUGGGAAGAACACCAGCGGCGAAAGCGCGCUACUGGGCCAUUACUGACACUCAUGGACGAAAGCUAGGGGAGCGAAAGGGAUUAGAUACCCCUGUAGUCCUAGCUGUAAACGAUGGGUACUAG